This 75-nucleotide transfer RNA is filed under the name Thermodesulfobacteriota bacterium. RNAcentral describes it as "tRNA-Thr". It matches the Rfam family "tRNA". Rfam says of the family: Transfer RNA (tRNA) molecules are approximately 80 nucleotides in length. Their secondary structure includes four short double-helical elements and three loops (D, anti-codon, and T loops). Further hydrogen bonds mediate the characteristic L-shaped molecular structure. tRNAs have two regions of fundamental functional importance: the anti-codon, which is responsible for specific mRNA codon recognition, and the 3' end, to which the tRNAs corresponding amino acid is attached (by aminoacyl-tRNA synthetases). tRNAs cope with the degeneracy of the genetic code in two manners: having more than one tRNA (with a specific anti-codon) for a particular amino acid; and 'wobble' base-pairing, i.e. permitting non-standard base-pairing at the 3rd anti-codon position. Lineage: Bacteria; Pseudomonadati; Thermodesulfobacteriota. The record is from RNAcentral.
GCCGGCGUAGCUCAGCGGUAGAGCAACUGAUUCGUAAUCAGUAGGUCGAGGGUUAAAACCCCCCCGCCGGCUCCA